UUGAAUCUAUAUAUUCAAUCUAACUAGCUAAUGGACGUAUGUCAGCGUCUCUAGCUGUACACUCUAACUAGUCUCUUCUCCAGCGUCAUUUCUGUUGCUGUGUCGAUCGCUGUGUAGACUGACUGGACUGGUAUAUAUCAGAUUGGAGGUACAUAUUUAAUAUAAAAGGAAAUAUAAAUAGAUCAUGGAUGACAAAUCUAACCAUAUAUGAUUUGUAGGACAUACAUGCAGCUUGUUAGUUAGAUCGAUCUUCUUCUGCUGCCAGCCUGAGCCCAACAUAUUUUCUGCUGCCAGACCUUAUCAAAAUACAAUUACUUUCUCAAAUUAAUUGUUAAAUCAGUAUUCGGAUCUCCAUUUAUCCGACCCGACUACCUUUCUACUGCAGUUUUUAAAGUUCGAUAUUUUUAUAACAAAAUAUAUAUAUAUUGCUUCUCAUAACAUUUGUAUUAAAAUCGACUUUCUAAUUACUAUUAUAUUCAUCUUAUUUAUAGAGUUAACUACUAACCAUACAAUUAUCUAAUUUUGGCUUCUUUCAUCAUUACAAG
RNAcentral lists this long non-coding RNA (545 nucleotides) under Zostera marina. RNAcentral describes it as "long non-coding RNA (ZMAR_LNC005529)". The record is from RNAcentral. Lineage: Eukaryota; Viridiplantae; Streptophyta; Magnoliopsida; Alismatales; Zosteraceae.